Carassius auratus (goldfish) is the source of this 364-nucleotide long non-coding RNA. RefSeq lists it as uncharacterized. The transcript is spliced from 4 exons. The record is from RefSeq and is a predicted model, not a curated record. Lineage: Eukaryota; Metazoa; Chordata; Actinopteri; Cypriniformes; Cyprinidae.
UUCUUGUGCCCCAAAAGAAAAGACAGAAAGCUCCUAAAAUGAGCAAAUAAGCUGUGCAUCAUCUCUGGUGUUUGGGAAGGAAAUGACUGAAUAUGAUGAAGCCAAUUGAUGAAGAUAUCAAUUGAAUGGCCACCGAGUGCAUCACUGCUACCUGAACCCAUCAGUUAUCUGCUGUGAAGACUGCAUUCACAAACCGCUCUACUGCGACAGCUCAGAUGUUACGGCCUGUAAAAGUAAACAUCACAGCUAAACAACGAGAGCUAGUUGUGGUGGGAUUCUUUUGGCCAAUAUCCCCAACAAGAAUCAAUGACAUCUAGACCAGGUGGAGUGUGAGGAGGACCGUCAGAGACUCCAGCCAGCCGAG